AGGACGAACGCUGGCGGCGUGCUUAACACAUGCAAGUCGAGCGGUAAGGCUCCUUCGGGAGUACACGAGCGGCGAACGGGUGAGUAACACGUGAGCAAUCUGCCCUUCUCAUCGGAAUAACCAUUGGAAACGAUGGCUAAUGCCGAAUAUGACUUCGGACCACAUGGUCUGAAGUGGAAAGCUCCGGCGGAGAAGGAUGAGCUCGCGGCCUAUCAGCUUGUUGGUGAGGUAAUAGCUCACCAAGGCGAUGACGGGUAGCCGGCCUGAGAGGGUGACCGGCCACACUGGGACUGAGACACGGCCCAGACUCCUACGGGAGGCAGCAGUGGGGAAUAUUGGACAAUGGGCGAAAGCCUGAUCCAGCAACGCCGCGUGAGGGAUGACGGCCUUCGGGUUGUAAACCUCUUUCAGCAGGGACGAAGCGAAGUGACGGUACCUGCAGAAGAAGGACCGGCAACUACGCGCCAGCAGCCGCGGU
Molecule: ribosomal RNA, 478 nt
Filed under: uncultured bacterium
Lineage: Bacteria
Description: SSU rRNA
Rfam family: Bacterial small subunit ribosomal RNA
Source: RNAcentral